This 253-nucleotide ribosomal RNA is filed under the name uncultured bacterium. RNAcentral's name for it is "partial 16S ribosomal RNA". It matches the Rfam family "Bacterial small subunit ribosomal RNA", at positions 524 to 776 of the family's 1533-position model. The record is from RNAcentral.
UACGUGGGGGGCGAGCGUUGUUCGGAAUUAUUGGGCGUAAAGGGUGCGUAGGCGGUUUGGUAAGUCUUGUGUGAAAUCUACAGGCUCAACUUGUAGUCUGCACGAGAAACUGCCGGGCUUGAGUGUGGGAGAGGUGAGUGGAAUUCCUGGUGUAGCGGUGAAAUGCGUAGAUAUCAGGAGGAACACCUGUGGCGAAAGCGGCUCACUGGACCAUAACUGACGCUGAUGCACGAAAGCUAGGGGAGCAAACAGG